UAUCUCUGUAGAGUCUGCAUAUCAAUAAGCGGAGGAAAAGAAACUAACUAGGAUUCCCUCAGUAACGGCGAGUGAAGCGGGAAGAGCUCAAAUUUGAAAUCUUCAAGGUUCUACCUUGACGAAUUGUAGUUUAAAGAAGUGUUUUCUGUUGGAGUUUUGGUAAAAGUUCUUUGGAAUAGGACAUCAUAGAGGGUGAGAAUCCCGUAUUUGACCAUUAUUUCCAGCUUUGUGAUACACUUUCAAAGAGUCGGAUUGUUUGGGAAUGCAGUCCAAAAUGGGUGGUAAAUUUCAUCUAAAGCUAAAUAUUGGCGAGAGACCGAUAGCGAACAAGUACCGUGAGGGAAAGAUGAAAAGAACUUUGAAAAGAGAGUUAAACAGUACGUGAAAUUGUCAAAAGGGAAGCGUUUGACACCAGUGUUGUUUUCUCGAAAAUCAAUUAAAAAAAGUUGGAUUUUGUAUUGUUAAGACCUUAUCAGCUUACUGUACUCUUUUCUUGCUUUUUUUAAUGCACUUUUCGUUUAACAAGUCAACAUCAAUUUCUUUUGUUGUAAAAGAGUCAUUGGAAGGUGGCUUUCACUUCGGUGAAAGUGUUUAUAGCCUUUGGCUUCUGCAAUCGGAGAGAUUGAGGUCUGCAGCGUAGAUCCUUCGGGGCUAGAUACGUAGAUGCUAAGUUAUAGUUUUUUAUAGACAACUUGUUGACUAUAAUUAAUCAUGUAGCUUACUCGUUUGCGCUAUUUUACCUACGCUUAGGAUGUUGAUCUGUAGUGCGUGCGC
RNAcentral lists this ribosomal RNA (774 nucleotides) under uncultured Neocallimastigales. RNAcentral describes it as "partial large subunit ribosomal RNA". It matches the Rfam family "Eukaryotic large subunit ribosomal RNA", at positions 24 to 634 of the family's 3401-position model. Lineage: Eukaryota; Fungi; Neocallimastigomycota; Neocallimastigomycetes; Neocallimastigales. The record is from RNAcentral.